UGCAAGUCGAGCGGUGAAGCCCUUCGGGGUGGAUCAGCGGCGAACGGGUGAGUAACACGUGGAUAAUCUGCCCUGCACUCUGGGAUAAGCCCGGGAAACUGGGUCUAAUACCGGAUAACACCUUCCUCCGCAUGGUGGGGGGUUGAAAGUUCCGGCGGUGCAGGAUGAAUCCGCGGCCUAUCAGCUUGUUGGUGGGGUAGUGGCCUACCAAGGCGACGACGGGUAGCCGGCCUGAGAGGGCGACCGGCCACACUGGGACUGAGACACGGCCCAGACUCCUACGGGAGGCAGCAGUGGGGAAUAUUGCGCAAUGGGCGAAAGCCUGACGCAGCGACGCCGCGUGAGGGAUGACGGCCUUCGGGUUGUAAACCUCUUUCAGCAGGGAAGAAGCGCAAGUGACGGUACCUGCAGAAGAAGCACCGGCUAACUACGUGCCAGCAGCCGCGGUAAUACGUAGGGUGCGAGCGUUGUCCGGAAUUAUUGGGCGUAAAGAGCUCGUAUGCGGCCUGUCACGUCGGAUGUGAAAACCCGGGGCUCAACCCCGGGCCUGCAUUCGAUACGGGCAGGCUAGAGUUCGGCAGGGGAGACUGGAAUUCCUGGUGUAGCGGUG
Molecule: ribosomal RNA, 610 nt
Filed under: Embleya scabrispora
Lineage: Bacteria; Bacillati; Actinomycetota; Actinomycetes; Kitasatosporales; Streptomycetaceae
Description: bacterial SSU rRNA
Rfam family: Bacterial small subunit ribosomal RNA
Source: RNAcentral